AACGAACGCUGGCGGCAGGCUUAACACAUGCAAGUCGAGCGGGCGCUUUCGGGCGUCAGCGGCGGACGGGUUAGUAACGCGUGGGAACGUGCCCUUUGCUCUGGAAUAGCCCUGGGAAACCGGGGGUAAUACCGGAUGUGCCCUGAGGGGGAAAGGUUUUACCGGCAAGGGAUCGGCCCGCGUCGGAUUAGUUAGUGGGUGUGGUAACGGCGCACCAAGCCGACGAUCGGUGGCUGGUUUGAGAGGAUGAUAAGCAACACUGGGACUGAGACAGGGCCAGACCUCUUACGGGAGGCAGCAGGGGGAAAUUUUAGACAAUGGGCGAAAGCCUGUUCUAGCCAUCCCGCGGGGGUGAUGAAGGCCUUAGGGUCUUAAAGCCCUUUCGCCGGGGAAAAUAAUGCCGGUACCCGGUAAAGAAACCCCGGCUAACUCCGUGCCAGCAGCCGCAGUAA
This 452-nucleotide ribosomal RNA is filed under the name uncultured bacterium. RNAcentral describes it as "partial 16S ribosomal RNA". It matches the Rfam family "Bacterial small subunit ribosomal RNA", at positions 28 to 523 of the family's 1533-position model. The record is from RNAcentral.